GAUGAACGCUGGCGGUGUGCCUAAUACAUGCAAGUCGAGCGAACAGACGAGGAGCUUACUCCUCUGACGUUAGCGGCGGACGGGUGAGUAACACGUGGAUAACCUACCUAUAAGACUGGGAUAACUUCGGGAAACCGGAGCUAAUACCGGAUAACAUGUUGAACCGCAUGGUUCAACAGUGAAAGACGGUCUUGCUGUCACUUAUAGAUGGAUCCGCGUCGCAUUAGCUAGUUGGUAAGGUAACGGCUUACCAAGGCAACGAUGCGUAGCCGACCUGGGAGGGUGAUCGGCCACACUGGAACUGAGACACGGUCCAGACUCCUACGGGAGGCAGCAGUAGGGAAUCUUCCGCAAUGGACGAAAGCCUGACGGAGCAACGCCGCGUGAGUGAAGAAGGUCUUCGGAUCGUAAAACUCUGUUAUUAGGGAAGAACAAAUGUGUAAGUAACUAUGCACGUCUUGACGGUACCUAAUCAGAAAGCCACGGCUAACUACGUG
This 497-nucleotide ribosomal RNA is filed under the name uncultured bacterium. Its description in RNAcentral is "partial 16S ribosomal RNA". It matches the Rfam family "Bacterial small subunit ribosomal RNA", at positions 28 to 507 of the family's 1533-position model. The record is from RNAcentral.